UUUUUAUUUUUUUUACCAGAGGAAGCGGCUUUUAUUGAUGGGUUAUCUCCAGAAACCAGAAAGACUUUAUGUACUCACUUUCAGUUACCCCCAUGCCUCCAGGAUCGCAUGUUGCUCCACCUGGGGGCGGAUAUAAAUUACCUCUAGAUUGUCCAAAGCCCAGUCUUUCCGCCUUAGAAACUAAGUAGCAAUACUGGUUGGUGUUUGUUUGUUUCUACCCCAGCAAUGACUGCUGAUGCACAGGAAAACAGUAUCAUAGCCUAUCAAAGGGCCCUCUGCCCUGCCUCAGUGGCUUGAUUCUUCAUUGGUUGCAUUUCUCUUUGUGUUGGAUGACGCCCUUCUGAAUCAGAUUAGGGAUUUCUACUGCCAGCCCAGGACCCAGCCCCAGAGCCAUGAGAUGAGCUAGUCCAAAUUUGGGCACAUUCCUGGCCCACAAAGGUUUGAAAUGAUCCAUCAGGCAUAUUUUGCCACCCCUGUACAUCUUUGCUGUCUUUCCAUCCAGCUCAGGAACUGCAAUUUCUGGGGGCAGUAGUAGGAUAUGUGAUAGGAAUGUCAAACUCGAUGUCAAACUAAUAUUUCAGGAGGUCAUGGAUAUACCAGCAUUUUCCAAACCACCGAGUCCCUUCCUUGUUGGACUCCAGUCGGAACCAAUCGUUGUCAGCAUUCUUGUUGUUUUCCACAUACCAGAUAAGGGACUGAUAUUCCUCCUUCAGUCGCUGCACCCACAACUCCCGAUCUCGGGGUCCGGCGUUAGUCUUCACCACCGGGAUCUCAGACACAACACGUCGCGUGGCCUCAUCCGCCAUCUUCGAUUUAUUCUUUUUAACAAGACCAAGUGAAGUAUUAAUGGUCACCCUUUACCAAUGAGGAACAGGAGGCUGAAAGGAGAGGUGCAUUUUCUCAGAUAACAUGGCCACUUUGAGGCAGAGCUGGGAUUUCUGGGGCUCCCUCACUAUGCCAGGGAGACCCUGUUCCAUUCAGCCUCGUCCCACUGGGGCCUCCAAAGGGCCUGGCACAGCUUUCCAGCAAAUGUUUGUUGACUGACCAACUGACUGACUGAAUCAAAGAAUGAAUGAGCAAGUGUCUAAUUUCCAGGAUAACUGUGGAGUGGGAGCUGUAAAGUGGCCCAGGUACUUUGCUUAGAAGCACAAACUAGGUUGGAAGAGCACUAGCUAAUAGAGUUGUGGUCAGACAUGGAUUACACUUUUCCAAGCAUUGGAAUACGGUAAUAUCAAUCAUGUUUCUACAAAUCGCCUUUUAUUUCUUCUUUUUUUCUGAGACAGGGUCUCGCUGGCGUGCAGUGGUAUGAUCUUGGCUCACUGCAACCUCUGCCUCCUAGUUCAAGUGAUCCUGCCGCUUUAGCCUCUCAAGUAGGUGGAAUUAGAGGUACGCGCCAUCAUGCCUGGCUCAUUUUUGUAUUUUUUGUAGAGAUGAGGUCUCACUAUGUUGCCCAGGGUGGUUUUGAACUCUUGGACUCAAGUGAUGCACCCGCUUCAGCCUCCCAAAGUGCUGGGAUUACAGGUAUGAGCCACCGCGCCCGGCCCACCUUUUGUUUCUUCUCAUUCUGCAUAUGUGGAAUUUGCUGCAUCUGGUUAGUCAGGCCAACUACAGUUGACCCUUAGACAAAACGGGUUUGAACUGCACAGGUUCACUUCUCUAUGGAUUUUCUCCCACCUCUGCCACCCCUGAGACAGCAAGACCACCCUUCCUCCUCCUCAGCCUACUCAACUGAAAGAGCAAGGCUGGAAGCCCUCUGUGAUGAUUCAAUUCCACUUAAUGAAUAAUACAUAGAUUUUCUCUUCCUUGUGAUUUUCUUAAUAACUUUCUUUUCUCUAGCUUACUUUAUUGUAAGAAUACAGCUUAUGAUACAACAGAUAACAUACGAAACAUAUGUUAAU
This is a long non-coding RNA of Macaca fascicularis (crab-eating macaque), 1898 nucleotides long. Lineage: Eukaryota; Metazoa; Chordata; Mammalia; Primates; Cercopithecidae. The record is from Ensembl.